This 29-nucleotide non-coding RNA is filed under the name Rattus norvegicus (Norway rat). The record is from RNAcentral. Lineage: Eukaryota; Metazoa; Chordata; Mammalia; Rodentia; Muridae.
UGGAUCCUUGGGAAGUCGAACUUCUCCUC